Molecule: small nuclear RNA, 104 nt
Filed under: Carlito syrichta (Philippine tarsier)
Lineage: Eukaryota; Metazoa; Chordata; Mammalia; Primates; Tarsiidae
Source: RNAcentral
GAGCUUGUUCUGGCAGCACAAACACCACAACUGGAACGACACUGAGCCUGGCAUGGCCACUGCGCAGGGAUGCCACGCAAACUGGUUAAGUAUCACAUGUUCUG